RNAcentral lists this ribosomal RNA (253 nucleotides) under uncultured bacterium. RNAcentral's name for it is "partial 16S ribosomal RNA". It matches the Rfam family "Bacterial small subunit ribosomal RNA", at positions 524 to 776 of the family's 1533-position model. The record is from RNAcentral.
GACGUAGGAGGCGAGCGUUGUCCGGAUUCAUUGGGCGUAAAGAGCGCGCAGGCGGCUUGGUAAGUCGGAUGUGAAAACCCGAGGCUCAACCUCGGGCGUGCAUCCGAAACUGCUCGGCUAGAAGUAGGUAGGGGAGAUCGGAAUUCCUGGUGUAGCGGUGAAAUGCGCAGAUAUCAGGAGGAACACCGGUGGCGAAGGCGGAUCUCUGGGCCUUACCUGACGCUCAGGCGCGAAAGCUAGGGGAGCGAACUGG